Molecule: ribosomal RNA, 438 nt
Filed under: uncultured bacterium
Lineage: Bacteria
Description: bacterial SSU rRNA
Rfam family: Bacterial small subunit ribosomal RNA
Source: RNAcentral
AACGAACGCUGGCGGCAGGCCUAACACAUGCAAGUCGAGCGCGCCCUUCGGGGUGAGCGGCGGACGGGUUAGUAACGCGUGGGAACGUACCCUUCUCUAAGGAAUAGCCUCCGGAAACGGAGAGUAGUACCUUAUACGCCCUUCGGGGAAAGGAUUUAUCGGAGAGGGAUCGGCCCGCGUUAGAUUAGAUAGUUGGUGGGAUAACGGCCUACCAAGUCUACGAUCUAUAGCUGGUUUUAGAGGAUGAUCAGCAAACACUGGGACGUGAGACACGGCCCAGACUCCUACGGGAGGCAGCAGUGGGGAAUCUUGGACAAUGGGCGCAAGCCUGAUCCAGCCAUGCCGCGUGAGUGAUGAAGGCCCUAGGGUCGUAAAGCUCUUUCGCCUGUGAUGAUAAUGACAGUAGCAGGUAAAGAAACCCCGGCUAACUCCGUGCCA